CGUGGUCCAGGCGCCGGGGUUCUACUGGAGGUCCUGAUGUAUAUUGAUGGGAGCCCAGGGCAACAAAAUCAUUAGUUCUGUAUCCAGCAUUAGCCACAUCCUGAUAAGGGGAGGAAGCCCUGACCAUCAGAAUAUCCUAUACUGGCUCAGAGGAGAAGGAUGAAGGGAGACAUGCUGGGUGCCUCUUUCUUCUGUGGUGCCAUCCUCUAUGACUUGCAUGAUCCAAGUCAUGCUUUAGUGAAGUUUGAAGAUCCAAAGGAAUAAAUGAAUGAAACGAGAACAUUUUCCACAAUAGUUCUGGUAGAGAAUGAUUCAAUCAACUUCUGGGAACUCUAAGUUUGUAAAUCUUAAACGUGUAAAUCCUACAGAUGGUUACUCUCAUUUUACCAUUACCUCAAAUAGUUACCAGAAAUAUUAAACAGAUAAAGUCUAUCUGGAGAAGGUCCAAAUUCAUUUUUGAGAAACCCUACAGAAACUCAAUGCAGUAUGUCCUAACAAAUAUAAAACCCCAAACCCUACUGGGCUGAAUUAAUCCCUACUUUGCUUGAAUGUUCAAUGUAGUUUACUCCAACCAAAUGAAUUUUUACCAUUUAAUUCUUGUGCCCAUCCAUUAUUCUCAUUUCUAAAAACAAAGGCAGUAAACAAACCAUUCAAUUCAGUGUGGGAGUUGAAUAAAACCUUCUAAAUCAUGACACUGGUUUCAGAAGCACUCAUUUUCUUCUCAUAUGAAUCAUUCAAGUCUGAUUAAAGGUGAGAGGGUGAGGUGGAGGGAAAACCCUUUUUGUUGUGUCUGGAAAUGAAAAGCAGAGAAAAUAAAGUUUGCUAUUUAUAUCACUCCUAAAUCUAAGUCAGUAGAAGGGGGAAGUUUCUGUCAUCAUUGAUCAAUGAAUAAUACAAAACAUGUUGCACAGACAGGAUGUAUGCUAACCCAAGUGGAAGGUAAUUCAGUAAUAAGUAAUAAAGUAUUUCAGGGAUAAUGGUUAACAGAAUUUCACUCUAUUGGUUCUAGAAUUGUGGAAAUAGCCCAGACUGGACCUCGUAUUGAUUCCUGAAGGUCUCUACUGACUCUCCAGGUUUCCCUUAGAAGGAUCUCUGCAGAGUAGCUUUAAUUCUGAAGCUUUCGUAGGUAGGAUCUCUCUAGAGACCCUUGGGUCUGUUGACUCAAUUCGGCACAUUUUGGAUUAUCCUAGAGUAGACCUAUGCUGAUCUUUGUCAUUGCAAAAUUAAUAACACUGUGUGGUAGGUGGAUAAUGGCUUCCAAAGGCAUGUUCACAUCCUAAUCCCCAAACCUGUUAAUUUUAUCUUUAUUUGAAAAAAAGGUCUUUGCAGGUGUGAUUUAGGAUCCUGAGAUUAUGCUGGAUUAUUGAGGUGGGUCCUGAAUGCCAACACAAGUAUCUUUAAAAGAGAGGUGAGACACAUACAGAUAUACGGAGACAGAGGCAGUUUGGAGAGACCAAGGCCUCAUGCCAAGGAAUAUGGGUAGGAACGAUUUCUCUCUUGGAGCUACUAGAGGGAGCGAGGCUUGUCAACACUUUGAUUUUGGACUUUCGGCCUUUAGAACCCUCAUAAAGUUUCUGAGUCACCAAAUUUGUGGUAAUUUGUUACAGUAGUCCUAGGAACUAAUACAUACUGCCUAGCUAGGACAAUAGUAUCUUUUUAGAAGAUAUUAAGAAAGAUGAUGUAAAAAUAAUGAGAACCCAGUUAACAGUAAUUUACCUUCCUAAGAUAUUUUUAUGGGGUAAAGCACCAAGUUGUCACAUUAAAAAAAAAUGUUGCAAGAAGUCAAUUCUGACUCCAUGUUCAAACUCUUUGACUUGCUUUCUGUUGUUUUUGUUAUUAUAAUCAUACAUAAAGGUCUGCCUCAGAGAAUCCUGCCCCUUACCUGUUCAACUAUAGUGCUUUUGUUCAGAACUCUGUCCACCUGUAGAUGAAAGAAAAGAAGUAAACAGAUUCCCUGGAGAAGGCUCGCCAUUCUAGAAGAUAUCUGCAAGAUUAAUGGCCUUACUUCACUUCCUCAUCUCUGAUCCAUAAAAAGAAACCUGGCAUCCAGACCCAAAUAAGAUGGUUAAGACAUUAGUCUGCCAUCUUCUCAGUCAGUUGACUUACUGAAUAACAUUGUAUUUCUUACCACUUCAGCUCUUGCUCUCAUUGGUCUGCUGUGCAGUAAGCAGAGCAAGCUUGGACUUGGUAACAUUAAGAGGAACAAAAAUGUUUGUAUCAUUGCAAAGGAGAAAUAUUUCAAUGAUACAUAUUUGAAAGAUGCCUUGUGGACUUGGUACAGCUGUCAACACUGGUUCUGAAACAGACUUUAUACAUGCCUCACUUUAUUGCAAUUUUGCAGAUACAGAGUUUCUUAGAAAUUGUUUUUGGCAACGCUGUAUCCAGUAACUCUAAGGGCACCAUUUUUUCCAGCAGCAUUUGCUCACAUUUUGCUUGCUGUCACAUUCUGAUAAUUCUUGUAAUAUUUAAACUUUUCC
Molecule: long non-coding RNA, 2477 nt
Organism: Bos taurus (domestic cattle)
Lineage: Eukaryota; Metazoa; Chordata; Mammalia; Artiodactyla; Bovidae
Source: Ensembl